AAGGUGAAAAGCCCCCCGACGAGGGGAGUGAAACAGUACCUGAAACCGAACGCCUACAAUCAGUUGGAGGGCCCUUGCGGCCUGACAGCGUACCUUUUGUAUAAUGGGUCAUCGACUUGGUCUAUCUAGCAAGCUUAAGCCGUUAGGUGUAGGCGCAGCGAAAGCGAGUCUUAAUAGGGCGAAUGAGUUAGUCGGAUUAGACCCGAAACCGAGUGAUCUAGGCAUGACCAGGAUGAAGAUUAGGUAACACUAAUUGGAGGUCCGAACCCACACCUGUUGAAAAAGGUCGGGAUGAGUUGUGCCUAGGGGUGAAAGGCCAAUCAAACUCGGAGAUAGCUGGUUCUCCGCGAAAGCUAUUUAGGUAGCGCGUCGCGUGUUGACCAUCGGGGGUAGAGCACUGGAUGGGCUAGGGGGG
This 415-nucleotide ribosomal RNA is filed under the name Lingulaulax polyedra. RNAcentral describes it as "Lingulodinium polyedra partial Bacterial large subunit ribosomal RNA". It matches the Rfam family "Bacterial large subunit ribosomal RNA", at positions 511 to 927 of the family's 2925-position model. The record is from RNAcentral. Lineage: Eukaryota; Dinophyceae; Gonyaulacales; Lingulodiniaceae.